Molecule: ribosomal RNA, 253 nt
Filed under: uncultured bacterium
Lineage: Bacteria
Description: partial 16S ribosomal RNA
Rfam family: Bacterial small subunit ribosomal RNA
Source: RNAcentral
UACGAAGGGGGCUAGCGUUGCUCGGAAUGACUGGGCGUAAAGGGCGCGUAGGCGGAUGGCACAGUCAGAUGUGAAAUUCCCGGGCUUAACCUGGGGGCUGCAUUUGAUACGUGUGAUCUAGAGUGAGGAAGAGGGUCGUGGAAUUCCCAGUGUAGAGGUGAAAUUCGUAGAUAUUGGGAGGAACACCGGUGGCGAAGGCGGGUCUCUGGGCCGAUAUUGACGCUGAGGAGCGAAAGCGUGGGGAGCGAACAGG